RNAcentral lists this ribosomal RNA (463 nucleotides) under uncultured bacterium. RNAcentral describes it as "partial 16S ribosomal RNA". It matches the Rfam family "Bacterial small subunit ribosomal RNA", at positions 338 to 795 of the family's 1533-position model. The record is from RNAcentral.
CCUACGGGGGGCAGCAGUGGGGAAUAUUGCACAAUGGGCGCAAGCCUGAUGCAGCCAUGCCGCGUGUGUGAAGAAGGCCUUCGGGUUGUAAAGCACUUUCAGCGGGGAGGAAGGCGGUGAGAUUAAUAACCUCAUCGAUUGACGUUACCCGCAGAAGAAGCACCGGCUAACUCCGUGCCAGCAGCCGCGGUAAUACGGAGGGUGCAAGCGUUAAUCGGAAUUACUGGGCGUAAAGCGCACGCAGGCGGUCUGUCAAGUCGGAUGUGAAAUCCCCGGGCUCAACCUGGGAACUGCAUUCGAAAGUGGCAGGCUAGAGUCUUGUAGAGGGGGGUAGAACUACAGGUGUAGCGGUGAGAUGCGUAGAGAUCUGGAGGAAUACAGGUGGCGAAGGCGGCCCCCUGGACAAAGACUGACGCUCAGGUGCGAAAGCGUGGGGAGCAAACAGGAUUAGAUACCCUUAGUC